GGGCCCAUAGCUCAGCAGGUUAGAGCACCUGACUCAUAAUCAGGGAGUCGCUGGUUCGAGCCCAGCUGGGCCCACAA
This 77-nucleotide transfer RNA is filed under the name Bacteroidales bacterium. RNAcentral's name for it is "tRNA-Met". It matches the Rfam family "tRNA". From Rfam's summary of the family: Transfer RNA (tRNA) molecules are approximately 80 nucleotides in length. Their secondary structure includes four short double-helical elements and three loops (D, anti-codon, and T loops). The record is from RNAcentral. Lineage: Bacteria; Pseudomonadati; Bacteroidota; Bacteroidia; Bacteroidales.